UACAGAGGGUGCAAGCGUUAAUCGGAAUUACUGGGCGUAAAGCGCGCGUAGGUGGUUUGUUAAGUUGGAUGUGAAAUCCCCGGGCUCAACCUGGGAACUGCAUCCAAAACUGGCAAGCUAGAGUAUGGUAGAGGGUGGUGGAAUUUCCUGUGUAGCGGUGAAAUGCGUAGAUAUAGGAAGGAACACCAGUGGCGAAGGCGACCACCGUGGACUGAUACUGACACUGGAGGUGCGAAAGCGUGGGGAGCAACAGG
RNAcentral lists this ribosomal RNA (254 nucleotides) under uncultured bacterium. RNAcentral's name for it is "partial 16S ribosomal RNA". It matches the Rfam family "Bacterial small subunit ribosomal RNA", at positions 524 to 775 of the family's 1533-position model. The record is from RNAcentral.